CAACAUUGGUGACGAAAAGAAAGCCAACGUUGGAUGGGUGGAUGUUUCAACAAUCGAAUGGCUUAGGACAGUGGAUACGCUAAGAGACAUCUACAGUGUUGUAUAAGCUUGACAAUAUUGAAAUGAGAUUCAAUGCUUGCUGGUGUGAAAGAAAACAAACAACCACAAAAAUCCCCCUGAGUCAUGCAAAGGUGCAAGACUGAUUCUGGACAUUUCCCUCUUCUCCAUAGUGUGAGUGAACAGGAACAGAAUCUGAUGAACUAUGGCCCAAAGACGACAGGGUCGUAGGGCACACUGAGUAUGGUGAUCUUGUCUUUCAAAAUGUUGCAACUUUAAAGCCUCUUCAUACAAACCCAGAUCAAAAUGACCUCAUGAGUACUUGUAAUUUAUUAACAGAACAGAGAAGUUUUUAACAGAACAGAGAGGUUUUUAUCAGACAAGAUUUGCUUCACUUGAAAUAAAUGUUUGCAACUGUAAACAGCAACACAAAAAAUAAAUAAAAAAUAGCUUGGUUGCUAGUGUGUAGGUUGCUAGAUUGAUAGUUGUUUGCCUUAUCCUGUCUCUUGUAUGCAG
Phyllopteryx taeniolatus (common seadragon) is the source of this 573-nucleotide long non-coding RNA. RefSeq lists it as uncharacterized. The record is from RefSeq and is a predicted model, not a curated record. The transcript has 3 exons. NCBI's taxonomy places the organism in Eukaryota, Metazoa, Chordata, Actinopteri, Syngnathiformes, Syngnathidae.